Molecule: ribosomal RNA, 468 nt
Filed under: uncultured bacterium
Lineage: Bacteria
Description: partial 16S ribosomal RNA
Rfam family: Bacterial small subunit ribosomal RNA
Source: RNAcentral
GACGAACGCUGGCGGCGUGCUUAACACAUGCAAGUCGAACGGAAAGGCCCUGCUUUUGUGGGGUGCUCGAGUGGCGAACGGGUGAGUAACACGUGAGUAACCUGCCCUUGACUUUGGGAUAACUUCAGGAAACUGGGGCUAAUACCGGAUAGGAGCUCCUGCUGCAUGGUGGUGGUUGGAAAGUGUCGGCGGUGGGGGAUGGACUGGCAGCUUAUCAGCUUGUUGGUGGGGUAGUGGCUUACCAAGGCUUUGACGGGUAGCCGGCCUGAGAGGGUGACCGGGCACAUUGGGACUGAGAUACGGCCCAGAAUCCUACGGGAGGCAGCAGGGGGGAAUAUUGCACAAUGGGCGGAAGCCUGAUGUAGCAACGCCGCGUGCGGGAUGCCGGCUUUCGGGUUGUAAACCGCUUUCGCCUGUGACGAAGCGUGAGUGACGGUAAUGGGUAAAGAAGCACCGGCUAACUACGUG